GACGAACGCUGGCGGCGUGCUUAACACAUGCAAGUCGAACGGUAAGGCUCCAGCUUGCUGGGGUACACGAGUGGCGAACGGGUGAGUAACACGUGGGUGACCUGCCCUGCACUUCGGGAUAAGCCUGGGAAACUGGGUCUAAUACCGGAUAGGACCGCACCGUGAGGGGGUGGGGGAAAGUUUUUUCGGUGUGGGAUGGGCCCGCGGCCUAUCAGCUUGUUGGUGGGGUAAUGGCCUACCAAGGCGGCGACGGGUAGCCGGCCUGAGAGGGUGGACGGCCACAUUGGGACUGAGACACGGCCCAGACUCCUACGGGAGGCAGCAGUGGGGAAUAUUGCACAAUGGGCGGAAGCCUGAUGCAGCGACGCCGCGUGGGGGAUGACGGCCUUCGGGUUGUAAACUCCUUUCACCAUCGACGAAGGGUUUCUGACGGUAGAUGGAGAAGAAGCACCGGCUAACUACGUG
RNAcentral lists this ribosomal RNA (465 nucleotides) under uncultured bacterium. RNAcentral's name for it is "partial 16S ribosomal RNA". It matches the Rfam family "Bacterial small subunit ribosomal RNA", at positions 28 to 507 of the family's 1533-position model. The record is from RNAcentral.